UACGGAGGGUGCAAGCGUUGUUCGGAAUCACUGGGCGUAAAGGGCGUGUAGGCGGUCCGCUAAGUCUGAUGUGAAAGCCCGGGGCUCACCCCCGGAAGGGCAUUGGAAACUGGCGAACUCGAGUCCCGGAGAGGAGGGUGGAAUUCCCGGUGUAGCGGUGAAAUGCGUAGAUAUCAGGAGGAACACCGGUGGCGAAGGCGGAUCUCUGGGCCAUUACUGACGCUGAGGAGCGAAAGCGUGGGGAGCGAACAGG
RNAcentral lists this ribosomal RNA (253 nucleotides) under uncultured bacterium. Its description in RNAcentral is "partial 16S ribosomal RNA". It matches the Rfam family "Bacterial small subunit ribosomal RNA", at positions 524 to 776 of the family's 1533-position model. The record is from RNAcentral.